Molecule: transfer RNA, 73 nt
Filed under: Patescibacteria group bacterium
Lineage: Bacteria
Also listed under: 1 other name
Description: tRNA-Ala
Rfam family: tRNA
About the family: Transfer RNA (tRNA) molecules are approximately 80 nucleotides in length. Their secondary structure includes four short double-helical elements and three loops (D, anti-codon, and T loops).
Source: RNAcentral
GGGCUCGUAGCUCAGUUGGUAGAGCACUGCUAUGGCAUGGCAGGGGUCGCGGGUUCGAAUCCCGCCGAGUCCA